This 250-nucleotide ribosomal RNA is filed under the name uncultured archaeon. Its description in RNAcentral is "partial 16S ribosomal RNA". It matches the Rfam family "Archaeal small subunit ribosomal RNA", at positions 474 to 723 of the family's 1478-position model. The record is from RNAcentral.
UACCGGCGGCUCGAGUGGUGGCCGCUUUUACUGGGCUUAAAGGGUCCGUAGCUGGAUUCACGGGUCCCUUGAGAAAUCUAUCGGCUUAACUGAUAGGCGUUCAGGGGAAACUGUGGUUCUAGGGACCGGGAGAGGUGAGAGGUACUGCCGGGGUAGGAGUGAAAUCCUGUAAUCCCGGUGGGACGACCUAUGGCGAAGGCAUCUCACCAGAACGGCUCCGACAGUGAGGGACGAAAGCUGGGGGAGCAAA